Molecule: non-coding RNA, 11121 nt
Organism: Meleagris gallopavo (turkey)
Lineage: Eukaryota; Metazoa; Chordata; Aves; Galliformes; Phasianidae
Source: RefSeq, a predicted model, not a curated record
GUGAUCCAACUAAAAGUGUUGGCUUGGUUUUAACCUAGAUCAGGUCCGUCAUCUACCUCAUUAUGAAUGUAGAAAUGCCUGUGCUUGCACAGUGGAGGAGACAGAGCAGGGGCUGAGUUUGAGUAACAGGGAGCAAAAAAGAAGGCUUCUUCCGGCAGUAUUGGCUUAUGGUAGCAUAAGUUGAUCACUAGUUUAAGGCACUGAGGUCUGAGGAGUGUUGAUAGCAUUGUCAUUCUAACCCUUACAGUAGAGAGCAGAAACAAAGUCUGUUUCUGGAUUUUCCUACAUUUUAGGUUGCGUGUCAGGGUUUGUCCUUAGUACUUACCUUAUUUGUUGUUUGUUCACAUUGUGUGCAUCUAUUACAAUUGAUUUUUGAUGGAGUUUAUUCUUUACUACCUGAAAACACUGACAUCCUAGGAUGUCAGUAAUUACAAAAGGAAGCAUCAUGGUUGCAGAGCACUGCCACCUAUUUUCUGUGGUAUCUUCAAACGCUGUGUGUACUCUGCAAGGUAUUAUUCAGUUUCCUGUUCUAAAGCAAGCACCCCCUUUCUCUGCUCCUCCAGUUGCUAAGCAGCAGCUCUUCUCCCCAUUAGCCAGCCACAUAUUUACAUGAAAAUAAUCAAGCUUGCAUAUAUAACUGCUUCUAAUCAUGCAGUUAAACAACUGUACAGUAAAAAAUGAGUAUUGGUAAUAUUAGUUAUCAUCAAAACUCAUUAUUUUCUUUAAAGUUACAAUGUCCACGUAGAAUAAAAUCAGUACAGCUAUGCUUUUCUUAACAAAAGACAUUUCAGUCUCUUCUUUCUCUUACCUCAUACUGUAUGCCUACUAAGAAAAACUGUUCAAAAAUGUUAUUUGCACUUCCCCAAAAAUGUAUAACUGCAGUUGUGAGCAGACAGAACUAACUAGGUCAGGGAAAAGCCAUCAUUUGCAAAUGUCUGAUUAUAAUAGCAAAAUCCAAAAGAACUGGAUGAUAGAAGAUUUGACUAUAGUACAAAAGGUAACAUUUUGUACAAUAUAUCCUAACUUCAUAAUUGACUUGUGUAACAAUGUUUGAGUUCCUGUUGAUUUUCAGGACAUUUGGUAUUUCUAAGGUCUGUUUUUAUUGGCAUGGUGAUCAUAGGCAAGCACAUAGGAAAAUCUUUAUAUGAGAGUCCUGACGAAUCUUUCUUACGCUCAGUAGUCAGAGCUACUCUUACUAUAAUUUGAGGCAGCAUUGUGCAUGCCCACUGUACUACAUACAUGGCUGUCAGCAGAUAAAAAUGUAAGCAAAAAACGAAAAGCAAGAAGCUGAGCAACUCCCAGGCUACCAGACUGGCUUAAAGAGCCACCCGGGUUGCAGAAUUCAUUUGUAGAGUUAACUGUGCUUUGGAAAUAGUGCUUAAGAUUCUAAUUCAUGAGAACUCUUAACAAAAAAAAAAAUAAUAAUAAUUCUUAGUGAAUAGAUACAGGCUAGGCAAUUGGCUCUGAUGUGUAAUACAGUUGGGUUCUGUCAGAACCAGAGCGAUAACACAUUUAAUUAAUGAUCUUACACCAACGUUUUGCCACUAGAAAACGGAUGAGAAAACUGGCCUUGUCUCAAGUGUGAAAAUACUUGGAAAGCAUUAAAACAGUCUUUUAGUGAUGAUUCUUAGUAAACCUGUCAGAGCAAGAAUGGUGCCACAUGAUUGGAAGAUAAAUACAUUUGAAAGGGAACCCAAAAAAGCGUUAUGGGCAACUGUUGCAGUACGUGGGGCCUAGGAAAAAAAAAAUGGGAUAAAAAAAGAACAUGAAAGAAAAAUCUUUUCUGUAUUAAAGGUAUAUUUGUGGGAGGGAUUGGUUUGGGUUUUGUUCAUUUAUUUUUCCUUUUAAUACAAUUUAUUUUAUCAACAAAGGAAAUGAAUUAGGGUUAAUUUGUGCUCCAAGAAAAAGAUUCAGUUUAGCGCCAUAUGAGAAAUUAAGUUGGGUGCAUAAAGAAUUUCUAAUGGGAAAAGAGGGCUAUAAAACUAGAAGCUGUCUAUAAGCAGACUCUGCCAUUUAACAUGUGUAGGAGCGUUUUGUUUAGUGCAUAAAUAAGAAUUGCUGAUAACCUUAAUUUUGGAAAACAGAUACACAUAGGAAGAGUUGUCUGGCUUGCAUUUAAAUAGAAGCGUUAUAAUAUCUUGUCUUGCAUAUCAAGUGCAGGGUUUUGAACUUGAAAAUAGCUAAGAAUUUUCUGUUCUGAUCUAGAAACUCCUUAACCAGAAAUGGCAGAAGAAAAGUUCUAGGAGUCAGGCCUAAAAUGCAUGAGGUCCGUCUUACCUUGGCCUAACAUCAGAAGAACCUACCAGUGAAUGUGCAUACAGGAGAACACAUAAGUACUCAAGGGAACGAUAUCAUCUGAAAUGUAAAAAUGAAUAAAGAUUUUCACAAUGUGAAAUGUGUUUUUAUGAAUGAAUCACAGAAAUGGGGCUGGAUGGUAAGUGGUGAAAUCACCUGUUCUACGUUCUACCAUGUAGUCUGACUUGCAAGCGGCAUUCCCCAUUCAUGCAUUGAAGUGAAAGAAGCUUCUGUCUGGUAUGUUGAUCACAAACAGCCAUCUGUUAUCCAGGAAGAGAUAGGAGAGUCGCCAGCAGAGUAAACUUGAAGUGCUUUAAGAUUAAAUUAAAGAUGGCAGAGGCCUAUUAAAUGCUUUCUCCGUCCCUGUCAGUAUUGGUUUAUGUAAUAUAUGAACGCAUACUUUAUGCUGCUGUUCCAGAUACCAACUAUUCCCCCUCCCCCCAUUAAGUCAACUACCUGUAGUUUAGAACACAGUUUAAGAUUUCCUGUAUUGUGUGUCUUCCUUUUAUCACCUUUUUUUUUUCCCCCCUUCUUGGUUUCUUCCUUUCGAAGAGUUUUCCAGAAAAAAAUGACUGUUAUGAAAAAUAUGAUUUUGAACUUCUCAUUUGCUUACCUUAAGCUACACUUGCUUAUGUUUGCAGGAUUUCCUUUUGAGUCUUUCCAGCCCCCAAAGGAUUUCUGUUAUUUUUAUGUGAAUUCCAUCCAAUUUGCGGAGAUCUUUUUGGUAAUAUGCCUGGGACUCAUUGGUGAAUUCCAGGUGUGGUUACAAAGAGCAUGGAUAAAGAAUUUAUGAUUUAUGUCUAGAUAGAGCCAUUUACGUUGUUUCAGGUACCCGUAUGACCUCUGUGUGUAGGACAGAAUGAAUUGCCAGAUGAUAUUAACAUUUGGUACACUAAGAGGCUCGAAUGGCUUAGCUGAUUGUUCACAGGGAAAACGUUCUACAGUCUGCCCUAAAGCUACAUGGAGAGAAACUGUUAUCUUCCUGCUCUAGGAUACAGUAUUUCCAAGUAUGCAAGUCAAACCUAACUUAGUCUUUUUGUUCGUAUUCUGUUACAAAUUUAUUCGUAGUUUCUGCUUACUUGUUAUUAUUAGAUUCUUUACAAAUAUGCCCUAGGGUUAUUUCCAUCCCAUUGAAUACGUUCCAGAAUAUUUCCCCUCAGUAUUUCCUACAGCAGUAGCUUGCUUUUUUCUCCUGUACUUAUCUUCAUCUUGGUGUUUUCUGACUGAAUUUUAGCCCCUAUAAUUACUUUGCUGUACCUCCAUAUCCUUGCAGUUGUCCACAUCGUGGCCUCUGAAAGAUUAAUGAAGAUGUCAAAGAACAGGGCCUCAUAACAGUUCCUUUGGCACUGUACACACACACAAAUACAUUGUUGCAUGUCCUUUUUCACAUAAGGCUUUUAUUUGCUAUCAGUUUUCAGAUUUAUCUUGAGCCCUACAGUAUUCACUGUUUUCCUUAAGCUUCAGAGUUUUUAUACAGUCCUUAUUUGUCUAAUCAUCUCUCACUCAGCAUUGUAAUCCAUCCAGUGCAUUCUGAGUGACUUGGGGGUUUCGCAAGAGUAGCAGAUGCUUUCCUGAAAUUGGGAUACGUAACACCUAAAGACUUCCUUCAGACCUUGUAUUCUGUUUUGGCUAUUGGGAAGAGUGUUGUUUUUCUUGUGAACUAGAUACUGCCUAGGAGUCUGUUGGUCUUUAUGGCUAACAUUUUCAGACAUGGGUUUUUUCAGUGUUUUCAGGAGUUUACUUCCUCUAGCGAGGAUCUUAAUGGGCAUAAGUAAUCAGGAGAGAGAUAAAUGAAUGCUGUAGAUACAUUUAAAUGCAUCCUCUUAAAAUGCAGAAAGCUACAGAAUGCCAUAGAACUAUUUGCUAGAGAUUUAAUAUUUAGUCAGCAAUUAUUAGCGUUUUAUUUUGAUGUGACAUUCAUCAGUUAACACAGUUGCACUUCCUAACUCUUUCUAAAAAUCAAAGCUCAUUUCCAUUUGAAGAUGCAAAUACUAGCUACUAAUUAAUAAUACUGUAAGUAUUUUUAGACACUGGUAGGCAGAUGGCACACCUGGGAAAAAGGCAAUGCAAACAGAGUGGUGUAGAGGUGUAACAGAAUGAAAAGCAUAGCAACAACAGCAAAGUAGCAUGGUCCUAGGCUGCAGCAAGGGACCUAAGCUGCACAAAUGCAACAGCCAUAGGCACAGAAAUAGAGGAAAGAAGCUGCUUAUCUUCAGAAGAUCUCAGGGAUGCAGAGCUCUCCAGCAAGAUACCCUCGCCUUCAGUGCCAACCCUUAAAUGAGGUCUGCAAGGAGGUGGAUCCUGGCUUCACCUGUUCCAGUCAGUCAGGUGCAUUGCAUACACCUGAGCUCCCCUGGGUUGGCCCUGCCUUCCACCAGGUGCUCACUGUUUCAUGCCAUGCUUUUUCUGCUACAAAAGGUAAUCCCAGAAAGAUAUUACUGGAACUGAAGUUCAUCCAGAAUAUGGUCUUCCUAAAUAUGUAUUCCCUAUAUAAAUGCUACUGUGUGUGCUUGAUGUAUAAAAAUAUAAUUAUUAAUGUGGACCACCAAUUACAGUAACAUCUAAUAAAGGCUGACACUUUAAGUACAAGCCUUAUCUGCACACAGAUCUACCUCAACGAUUUUGGAGACUUGCAAAUAAAAUUAAUUUUCUUGCCAGUAUAUUGAUCAUUGUAUAUCUUAAAGCAUAAGAUAGAUACAGUUGGAGAUACAAAGUUAGGUAGAACACAAAUUUAUAAAGUGUUACCUGUUAUUCUGAUGCGAUAUGUUAGUGGCAAUUAGGAAGGAGAAACACCCUAAUUCUGUUUCCAGUUCCUAGGGGGAAAAUCUUGUGUGGUGGUUAUGAACUUCUAGUCAGGUACAGAAAUCAGGUACUUUUACUCUGGAAGCUGUGCAAUUAAAUGACUGAGACUUGAUUCUGCUGUAAUGUGGUGUCUCCUGAGUAGUCUUGCAGCUGCUUUAGUUACAAAUUCAGUGAUAGCUGUUUUCCUUCAGAAGUGGUAACUUGAUGGCUUGGCUAAUAAUAUCAAACAACACUAGCUCCCAAGUCCAUAAAAUAUAAACACAGUACCUUCUUCAGUCUCCCUACCCACAGUACCUUCAUCUUCCUUUUCGUAUGCUACUUUAAAAGAUAGUUUGUGGAGAUAGUAUUUUGAGUAGCUGUUUUUCUCAGGACAGAAUAUAGGCUUUUGACUUAUUUGGAUUUUUUAUUCUAAUACUUAAGUGAUGUGUUCUCACUAGGAGCGUGCUUUUUGCAAAAGAAAGUGAUCGUAGAUUGAAACUAUUAACUCGGGGAAAAUAGGAAAUGGUUAUACUGUAAAAAUAACUGUGAAAACGUAUCAGAUUGUUCAGAGAGGGAACAGCCUUCCAAGAAGUGAUCGCAUUCUCAUGCUCUGCUUUAAACACAUUCUUUAUCUUUAAAAGGAAGCAGAAGAGAAUCAGUCAGUAAAUCAAAUGUAAUUGAGGUCUAGUCUGCAAAACUAUCAUUCUGAAGUAAGGCAUUAGGUGUGGGUAUUUGAGACAAGAACUGCCAGUGCCCAGACCUCUUGUGCUCUGAGGAAAGUGCACACAUCUUCGGUUAGAUAAUAUCUUUCUUGCAGCUCUUGGUGGUUUUUCUUCAUUGUCUGAAGAUAGCAGUUAUGGUUACUAUCUAUUAAAAAACAGACUGUACUUUUCUACUGCAAUGAAUAAGGGUGUUGUGUUGUUUGUUUGGUAUUUUUUUAAAUCUGUUUGUUUAGAGAAGGAAAUUGGAUUUCUUACCCCAAAACCUCCACCUUCACUCACUUGUUGGCAAAAUAAAACCCAAACAACUGUUGAAAGACUGCAUGUUCUUGCUGCAACUUUGUAAACCAGUUUUGUGAUGAAGAUUUCACUGCCUCUAACCUGGGUUUGUCUCCAUUGCUCCAGCACUAGAUCACUAGUCAGUUCCCUAAUUUCUUCUUCACCUAGCAGGUACAAAAUUGCUUUUUGCUUGCAGUAAUGCAAAAAUUGGUUAUUUUAAGCAGAAGAAAUUAGUAGUAUUUAUAUUUUUCAAGCUCCUUCAGAGUAGCUUUAUUUUUUAUCUAUGUCUUAAUAAAAACAAAGUAUUUCUAGCUAAUUUUAAUUCAGUCAUCAAUAAAAUGGGAACAUUGUUACUUUAAAGGUAAAAUAAAAAUCCAAAUUACUUGGCAUUAAUUAUACUGUGACAGAAGAAUUCAUAAUUUCCUUAUUGGGUUCUUUGAAAUGUUUCUUACCGUGCAUUACAUUUAUGCAAUAUUAUGAAAUAAUGAAGGCCAGAGAGUUGGCUGGGUCUCCCUGUGUCCAAGUAUUGUCCCCUGAGUCACUUGAGAGCAUCACUCCAGAUGGUUGUUAUGGGCCAAAGCUGCCACACAGCAGGCUACCGGCUUGGCAGUGCAGAUGAUGAGCAGUCUGAUAUUCAAUUUAUUCCAUGGUACCACUCUGUUUAACAGUACAGGUGGAGCAACAGUGACUCAGAGAAGGUUUUUUAAGCGUUCCACUUUGCCAUGUUCAGAAGAAGACUUCUGGGGGGGGUCUUCUGUCCCGCUGAAUUUCUUUCUUUCCUAAGUGCCUCAAAUACAUUAAUUUCAUAAUAUCCAAAUACAUAAGUAAUAAGAGCACUUGCCUAGGAGUCCUUAGUCCCUGCACUCAGCACUGUGCGUUCAAGCUGUAUAAUUGCUGCUUAAUGAAAACAUAAGCAGCCUAGGAGAUUAAAGUAUCCUUAUUCUUUCUGGCCUGGGUGUCUUCCAUUCCCCAGCACAGAUUGUCAAAAUCUCAAGGUGGAUGUAAGAGAUGCUUUGUACACAAGCCUCUGCUGGUGGGAGUACUCUCCUACCAGACAGGAGAGGCUGAUUUAAGUCCUUCAAGCAGUAAAGGCACAGAAUCCAAUCAACCAUUUCCUUUCCAGCUGCUGUUGAAUAACACAUUGUCUUAACCUCUGUUCUGUGGUGUAAGAGUAGGUAACAAAGGUAUGUGUCCCAAAGGAGGGUGAGAUAUCCCUUACUUCUGCCAAAACUUACAUCUAGAAAAGCUCUUAGACAUUCAAAGUAAAUUGUUGCCUGAUGGCUAACCUAAAUUUCACCAAGGAGACAAAAUGAGCAGCAGUAAGUGGCCUCCUCUAACGUGCUUUCUAAGCUGCCAUAUGUAUGUCUUUGGUUAGAAUUCUUAGGAACACAAAGGUUCUUGUGCACUCUGGUUGCUAGGUACUACUUCUGCUGAGCUCUCCAGCUUCAUACACUUACUCAUCUUUAUUGUUGGGUAAGGUGCUACUUAGUGAGAGCAGUGUUAGGUGCUUGGUUGAUGGGGCUAUGCAAAGGACAGAGUUCUAAAAAAUGAAGUCAGUAGGUUUUAUAUCUAAUUAGGCCUCUAAUCCUGCAGACCGUUCGUGGUUUUGCAUUAUGAUAUGCUCAUGUUGUCUUAAAUGGGACUGCUUACUUAAGUGAAGUUCUGGGUGUAAUUGCAUGCAGGUUCACAUCUGAGCAAUCACAUUUUAGCUUCAUACUGCAGCACUGUAAUGAAUCAGAUAGCUCUGAUGUUACCCCUUGGCCUGUCACGGUGAAGGGGUUUCUGAAAUGGUGUAUGUUUCUGUGUAAUGGCUUACACUUCGUUUCCAUGCCCAUCCAAACUAAGUGCUUACAGAGGCACAUCACACAGGGUAUUUUAACUGUUGGGUUAAGAGAGUCAUAAGGCAUAGAUUUUCAAUGCGGUAGGUCAUGAGGCUGCAGUUUCACUGGGUUGUGUGCUGUAUUUGCAUAGGCAGAUAUUCAGACAGUUAAUGGUAGCACAGAAUGCUUUAAUGAUUUUCAUUUGCAUCAAGCUGUUCUCACCUCUUAGUAACAUAAUGGAUAAAUAAAAGAGGCCUUUUGUUUGCUCUCCAUGAAAGUUACCAGUGAUUAAGUGGUGCUGAGGGAACAGGCUGAUGCUCUUAAAACACCAACAACAAAAAAAAAAGAGGAGCAACAACAGAACUGGCCAUCAAAGCUGACUUCAAAGUGACCUACUUCGUUCUGAGUGUGGCAUAAAAGGACUAAUGAACUGCCUGAAUGCAGGGGAAGCUGAGGGAAAUCUCCAUCUGCAGUCAGUCUCCCCCAUUGCAAGAGGGGUGUUGGAGUCAUUAUGUGUCCAAUAAAGAUGGCUGAACUCACUGAUUAAUGCCUGAGUAGCAUAACAAUUCCUUAGAAAUUUGUUGCAGGAAGGAAGGGUUUAAGAUUUCUUCUAAGAAGAGAUCUGUGCAUAUGAGGAUAUUUUUAUUUUACUUUGGGUUAAGAAUAAAAUGAUAUUUGCAGGUAUGCUUGAUUCAGGUGUACAGUAAGAUGCAAACUGCUAUCACACUAUUGGCAACAUAUUUCAGUACAUGUAGAUAAGGAUGUAUUUUACUUGUAUUAACAAUGUAGGUUGUGUGUUUACAGCCUAACAACGGCCUUAAUCAUCUUAAUCUUGUUUUUUUUAAAUGUUUACAACACUUUGAAAUAUAACUUCCUAAGUAUAUAUCACUAAGAAGAUAUUGCAGAAGCAAACACUUUAAGCAGAGGUGAAGCACUGUCACUAAUGCAGACAGAACUACAGCAACUGUCUGUUCCAGCUACAGUGGGAAAACUUUGCUCAAAAAUGUUAAUUGAGUGGUUUUAAUUGAGUGCCAGAAAAUUGCUUCUGUGUGGUCGUCCCUGCUUAGAGAAUCUUCAAACUCAGUGUUUUCCAUUUUUCCUUGUUUCUUUCUUUCUUGGCUAGUAGUUGCUUCCAUCAAUUGGAUUUAUAAACUAUGAAUCUAAAGAAGAUAGCAUGUUGUCUAGAGGAUUUGAUCCAGAUGUAUAUUAUUACCUUUUUGAUAAAUAUCUUUUUAAGUACUUAUGGUGAAGAAGUUUUUUUGUUUUUUGCUUUUUGUUGUUGUUUGGUUGUUUUUCUGUGUGUGUGUGGGGGGGGGGUUAAUGUUUUAAUAUCCCAAGUAUCUUACUAGCAGCCAAAUUAAUGCUGAAUAAAACCCCAGAAAAUUCAGUAGUAUUUCAGCAGGGAUUCAUUCAGCCCUUGGGUUUGGGGUUGUAUCGUAUUGCAAGCUCUUAAAAAUAAGAGUGUUUGGAGAGCUGCAGGCUUCCCAUCUUUUUGUCUGGAAAAGUUAUAAAAUGGAACAGGCAGGCUUUUCACUGAGCUGCUGAGAACGCAGUUCUGGCUGUGCAAUCAGGACUAAAAAAGGAGCAAGAUCUGCACUAAAAAUAGAAAUGGAGGCUGAGCCAACUGCAGUGGGAGUUACAAUCCUUGCACAGCAAAGGGUUGGUAGGUUCAGCUGAGGACACUCGGUUACAGAAAAUCAAAUAAACUUUAUCCCGCUCCUGUAAAGCCAUCAUACCCUGACUGCUCUAACUGGAUUUUUAGCCGUCAGCAGAACUAUUAAUCAUUCCUGCAAAUUAACAUCUUCUUUCAGAUGCAGAAUUUUUUCAGAGAGAAUUGUAUUCAUCUCACAGUAAGAGGGAAAUACGGGCUGGUUUUACAUAACAGUUUGGAGAACGUAGGGGCAAAUUGCACAAAUUUAAUGCACUUUCUCUUGGCUGGAGAAAUGCAUUCAUACUAUUCUUUUGAGCACUAAGUGCCUGCUGAUAUUAUAGACUCCAGGUGGGCAUGCUCUGCUGACUCAGGUAUCUUUCCAGGCCUUGGAACCUUGUCAUGGACUGCAGACAUUCACAGUAGGUGCUUUGAGGGAGGUUAUUCUGCUCAUUUCAAGAACAAAGUACAGAACACCGUAGGUCAUUCCAGCCCUCUACUGCAUCCUCUCCUGUCCUUCUUUAUCCUGUCCUUCAUUGGGAGCACAGUUCAGGAAGUGUUGAAGUGUUUUGGUCAUUUGAGAAAUGGAAAAGUCUAGACAGCAGAGAGAGUAUGUGGAAGAAGACCAAAAAACAGAGAUCAUUAAACUUUCACAGGCCAAGCAAUGUAUAUGUUAAUAAAUUCCUUUCUUAUCUCCCUCCUCACCAGAAUAUCAAUUACACUAUUUCUUAUGUCCAGACUCUUCUCCCAGCAUCCAUAGUUUCAUCUCUUCCACAUUCCAUAUUGAGCACACAGUUUAGCAGAAGCUGAGAGCAGCUGCCCUGCAGAAGCACACGAUCAGCAGAAUGUUGCUGGUGAGGAGGAAGCAGCCUUCAUCUCCAGCUGAGUUCGGAAGCCUGUUGUUACUGCUGUUGUAUUACCAUUACUUACGCUUAUAUUUGAAGAGCUGUAUUUUCUGGGGAAAAAAAAAAAGGAAUGCAUGCAGUCAAGGAGGCAUAGAAAAGGGAUGAUGAUCAGAAAUGGCAGCGAGUGCUGAAAUAUGUCAAUCAUUGUAUUUUGGUUGCAUGCAAAUCUUAGACAGACUGUUUCAUUUACCAACUUUAGCUAAAUCUUUAUAAGACUACAUGGGGCUUUGGCCUCAUUUAACUAUGGGCCAUUCAUUCCCAGUUUCUGUAUACCUUUAGCUGUUACUCUUUGGAACCAAUCAUUUGGUAUAAUAAAAGCAAUGUAGGCCUGUAGUGCAAAUGUAGUAAUAUUAGUGACUUUGUGGAAAUAACUUAAUGAUUAUGCUUAAAAAAAAAAAAAAAAACAUCCCAAUCCAAAGAAUUGUUACUAUUACGUAUGCAAAGAGAAAAAUAAUUUUAGUUACAUGUCUUAAGUAAGUGAAUGUUGUAGAAAGAGAAAAUGGUAUUACUUGAACACACAACUUCAGUUUAGCCAGGGAGUUUUAAAAGUGUUGUUUAAGAUGGGAUGGGUUAUAGGUUAGGAAACCACGGUGAUAGAACUGAAUUGUUAAUAGAUAACCACCAAACUGAAUAUGAACAGGUAUGCAGUUUUACACUGGAUGCUUUUUCAUGAU